GAUAUUGAUGAGCCCCAGGUGGUCAAGCAUCUCGUGACAACCGAAUGAGUGGCGCGCAGUUACAUCCAACAGAUGACACGUUUUCUGUCGCAUUUCAGGAGUUUUCGAAACUCCAAAAUUUGCUUGUAGAGUGUAACUAAAAUACACUGUUUAUUAUUCAAGAGUCUGGUUUUGUAGGAUACGUUUUUCUAUCAAUGUGUCAUUCCAGAAACCUAGAAAGUCAUCUCAACUGCGACGGAAAAGAGUAGACGUGUCCUGUCCCUAAAGUUAGAUAUGGAAGAUGGCUUCGUGCAGGGUCAGAGGGUGGACACAGGAGGACAAACCCACCACUGAGAGUCCUAUAGAGUAAGAGCCACCAGAAGCCCACCCCUAACCCAGCCCAGAGGAGGUCACGUUGUGUCACCACAGUAAAGCCCUCUGGGUAAAUAACCCCUCAAAUCUCAGUGCCUCACCGCUGCCACCACCUGAGGGGCGAGAGAGAGACGGCCCCGCAGGACAACGAGCUGGAACUCAAAUCAACUGGCAGUGGUUUGGAACAAAAUAAGACUAUUUGGCCCAAAUCUUUAUUUAUUUUUCAGUUACCUUUUGAAGUGAACAAAAUCAUUUGCUUUUUAGACAAUGUAAUGAACAAUUUGUGUUGUGCUCAUUCAAGGCCGUGGUUCUGUGAUACGGGCUGUUGCAGUGUGCAGCACUAGAAUUCAGUAAAGGUGUCAAUUUUUUAGCCUUCA
This is a long non-coding RNA of Oncorhynchus keta (chum salmon), 728 nucleotides long. RefSeq lists it as uncharacterized. The record is from RefSeq and is a predicted model, not a curated record. Lineage: Eukaryota; Metazoa; Chordata; Actinopteri; Salmoniformes; Salmonidae. The transcript is spliced from 3 exons.